RNAcentral lists this ribosomal RNA (489 nucleotides) under uncultured bacterium. Its description in RNAcentral is "partial 16S ribosomal RNA". It matches the Rfam family "Bacterial small subunit ribosomal RNA", at positions 28 to 507 of the family's 1533-position model. The record is from RNAcentral.
GACGAACGCUGGCGGCGUGCUUAACACAUGCAAGUCGAACGGAAAGGCCCCCAUCUUGGUGGGGGUGCUCGAGUGGCGAACGGGUGAGUAACACGUGGGUGAUCUGCCCUGUACUUCGGGAUAAGCUUGGGAAACUGGGUCUAAUACCGGAUAGGACCAUGGUUUAGUGUCUCAUGGUGGAAAGAUUAUUGUUUUGGUGCAGGAUGAGCUCGCGGCCUAUCAGCUUGUUGGUGGGGUAAUGGCCUACCAAGGCGUCGACGGGUAGCCGGCCUGAGAGGGUGGACGGCCACAUUGGGACUGAGAUACGGCACAGACUCCUACGGGAGGCAGCAGUGGGGAAUAGUGCACAAUGGGAGCAAGCCUGAUGCAGCGACGCCGAGUGGGGGAUGACGGCCUUCGGGUUGUAAACUCCUUUCGUUAGGGACGAAGCCGCACUUUUUUUGGGUGUGGUGACGGUACCUUUGUUAAGAAGCACCGGCUAACUACGUG